RNAcentral lists this ribosomal RNA (324 nucleotides) under uncultured bacterium. Its description in RNAcentral is "bacterial SSU rRNA". It matches the Rfam family "Bacterial small subunit ribosomal RNA", at positions 473 to 793 of the family's 1533-position model. The record is from RNAcentral.
CGUUAGCACAGAAGAAGCACCGGCUAACUCCGUGCCAGCAGCCGCGGUAAUACGGAGGGUGCGAGCGUUAAUCGGAAUUACUGGGCGUAAAGCGCAUGCAGGUGGUUUGUUAAGUCAGAUGUGAAAGACCCGGGGCGUCAACCUCGGAACUAGCAUUUGAAACUGGCAGACUAGAGUACUGUAGAGGGGGGUAGGAAUUUCAGGUGUAGCGGUGAAAUGCGUAGAGAUCUGAAGGAAUACCGGUGGCGAAGGCGGCCCCCUGGACAGAUACUGACACUCAGAUGCGAAAGCGUGGGGAGCAAACAGGAUUAGAUACCCUGGUAG